AUGGUGCUCUUUGAAGCAAAAGUGUGGAAAAUGAUAGUAGCAUUGCCCCUUCUCUUUUUUUUCUCAUUUAUUUUUAUUCUAUUUUUUUAUUUGGGCCUUUUCUUUUUUUAUGGCCUCUUUUUUUUCCUUUUAUUUUUAUUUUUCAUUCGGAGUCUCAUCCCGACUUGUGGGGGAAUCAUAGUCUCCAUCAUCCUUCCCUCACUGGGACAAUGCUCUAAUAAUGAAGAUCAUCACACUUUUAUUUACUUACAACUCAAGAACUACAACUCGAUACUUAGAACAAAAUAUGACUCUAUGUGA
Molecule: ribosomal RNA, 300 nt
Filed under: Triticum aestivum (bread wheat)
Lineage: Eukaryota; Viridiplantae; Streptophyta; Magnoliopsida; Poales; Poaceae
Description: partial small subunit ribosomal RNA
Source: RNAcentral